Molecule: unclassified non-coding RNA, 339 nt
Filed under: soil metagenome
Description: partial contains 5.8S ribosomal RNA, internal transcribed spacer 2, and large subunit ribosomal RNA
Rfam family: 5.8S ribosomal RNA (bases 1-120)
Source: RNAcentral
GAUGAAGAACGUAGCGAAAUGCGAUACGAAGUGUGAAUUGCAGAAUUCAGUGAAUCAUCGAAUCUUUGAACGCACAUUGCACCUCUCGGUAUUCCGGGAGGUAUGCCUGUUCGAGCGUCAUUUGUACCCUCAAGCUCUGCUUGGUGUUGGGUGUUUGUUCCGCCUCUGUGUGUGAACUCGCCUCAAAACAAUUGGCAGCCGGCGUACUUGUUUCGGAGCGCAGCACAUUUUGCGAUCCAGAUCAACGUACAGCGGCAUCCAAGAAGCCUUAUUUAACGCUCUUGACCUCGGAUCAGGUAGGGAUACCCGCUGAACUUAAGCAUAUCAAUAAGCGGAGGA